Molecule: transfer RNA, 122 nt
Filed under: Caudoviricetes sp.
Lineage: Duplodnaviria; Heunggongvirae; Uroviricota; Caudoviricetes
Description: tRNA-Ile
Rfam family: tRNA
About the family: Transfer RNA (tRNA) molecules are approximately 80 nucleotides in length. Their secondary structure includes four short double-helical elements and three loops (D, anti-codon, and T loops). Further hydrogen bonds mediate the characteristic L-shaped molecular structure. tRNAs have two regions of fundamental functional importance: the anti-codon, which is responsible for specific mRNA codon recognition, and the 3' end, to which the tRNAs corresponding amino acid is attached (by aminoacyl-tRNA synthetases). tRNAs cope with the degeneracy of the genetic code in two manners: having more than one tRNA (with a specific anti-codon) for a particular amino acid; and 'wobble' base-pairing, i.e. permitting non-standard base-pairing at the 3rd anti-codon position.
Source: RNAcentral
GCGGGGAUAGCUCAGCUGGUAGAGUGAUAGUCUGAUAAGCUACGUCUAACAUUGACGAUACAUAGGUAGUAUCAAAGAUUUACUCAGCUAUCUUGGCGGUGGUUUGAAUCCAUCUCCCCGCU